UAGUAAUAUCAAAAUCAAAAAUUACGCUGAAGACGGGUUCACAAAAAAAAGAAUCUCCAAUGGUCAACAAUAAUACAUCGCUCAAGGUGAAUAAUUAUCUAUUUCAACAUAACAACUAAUUUCAACAGUAAAAACAAAUAACAAAACAUUGUCAAAUUUGAAACAGAAGUGUACGAGUUGUCCUACGCUUCAGACUUGACAUUCACUAAACAUGCAUGCUGAAAUUGACAUGGUUGAUUUUGUAACACAAUCAUACACAUUCAAGUUUUGAAAUCGACAAUUGUCAUCGUCAUUGGAAUGCAACUGGAAUACACAUUCUAGGGUCACACAGGUUCAAACAAUACUCAGUCCGGCAGUGGGCGGAGCUUUAAAGCGAUAUCUGUAUUAUAGUAUACAGAUACAGCAUAGCGAUAUCUGUAGGGCUGUAUCUGUAUAGUAGGACACCCAAUUGCAGGAUAAAUGUAAAUA
This 468-nucleotide long non-coding RNA is filed under the name Mytilus galloprovincialis (Mediterranean mussel). The record is from RNAcentral. Lineage: Eukaryota; Metazoa; Mollusca; Bivalvia; Mytilida; Mytilidae.